RNAcentral lists this unclassified non-coding RNA (376 nucleotides) under uncultured Pseudomonadota bacterium. RNAcentral's name for it is "uncultured proteobacterium contains 16S-23S intergenic spacer region". The record is from RNAcentral. Lineage: Bacteria; Pseudomonadati; Pseudomonadota.
UCCGUCUUGACGACGGCAGUCCCUCUGGAGUGCCCAACUGAAUGGUGGCAACCAAAGGCAGGGGUUGCGCUCGUUGCGGGACUUAACCCAACAUUUCACAACACGAGCUGACGACAGCCAUGCAGCACCUGUCUCUUUGUCUCUUGCGAGCCUACGAUAUCUCUACCGUAUUCAAAGGAUGUCAAACCCAGGUAAGGUUCUUCGCGUUGCAUCGAAUUAAACCACAUGCUCCACCGCUUGUGCAGGCCCCCGUCAAUUUCUUUGAGUUUUAACCUUGCGGCCGUACUCCCCAGGCGGAUGACUUAACGCGUUAGCUGCGCCACCGAAACGCUAAGCGCCCCGACAGCUAGUCAUCAUCGUUUACGGCGAGGACUAC